CAAUAGCGUAUAUUAAAGUUGUUGCGGUUAAAAAGCUCGUAGUUGGAUUUCUGCUGAGAACGACCGGUCCGCCCUCUGGGUGUGUAUCUGGCUCUUUCUUGGCAUCUUCUUGGUGAACGUUGCUGCACUUGACUGUGUGGAGCGCUACCCAGGACUUUUACUUUGAGGAAAUUAGAGUGUUUCAAGCAGGCAUACGCCUUGAAUACAUUAGCAUGGAAUAAUAAGAUAGGACCUCGGUUCUAUUUUGUUGGUUUCUAGAGCUGAGGUAAUGAUUAAUAGGGAUAGUUGGGGGCAUUCGUAUUUAACUGUCAGAGGUGAAAUUCUUGGAUUUGUUAAAGACGGACUACUGCGAANGNAUUUGCNGAGGAUGUUUNCAUUG
RNAcentral lists this ribosomal RNA (379 nucleotides) under uncultured eukaryote. RNAcentral's name for it is "partial 18S ribosomal RNA". It matches the Rfam family "Eukaryotic small subunit ribosomal RNA", at positions 592 to 975 of the family's 1831-position model. The record is from RNAcentral.